GAUGAACGCUGGCGGCGUGCUUAACACAUGCAAGUCGAACGAGAAGUGAAGACGGAAACCUUCGGGCGGAAGGCUUUAUUUCGAGUGGCGGACGGGUGAGUAACGCGUGGGUAACCUGCCUCAUACAGGGGGAUAACAGUUGGAAACGACUGUUAAUACCGCAUAAGACCACAGCACCGCAUGGUGCGGGGGUAAAAACUCCGGUGGUAUGAGAUGGACCCGCGUUCGAUUAGCCAGUUGGCGGGGUAACGGCCCACCAAAGCGACGAUCGAUAGCCGAUCGGAGAGGAGGCCCGGCCACAUUGGGACUGAGACCCGGCCCAAACUCCUACGGGAGGCGGCAGGGGGGAAAAUUGCACAAGGGGGGAAACCCUGAGGCAGCGGCGCCGGGUGAGUGAAGAAGUAUUUCGGUAUGUAAGGCUCUAUCAGCAGGGAAGAAAAUGCCGGUCCCGGAGUAAGAACCCCGGGCUAAUUACGG
This 477-nucleotide ribosomal RNA is filed under the name uncultured bacterium. RNAcentral's name for it is "partial 16S ribosomal RNA". It matches the Rfam family "Bacterial small subunit ribosomal RNA", at positions 28 to 506 of the family's 1533-position model. The record is from RNAcentral.